Molecule: ribosomal RNA, 487 nt
Filed under: uncultured bacterium
Lineage: Bacteria
Description: SSU rRNA
Rfam family: Bacterial small subunit ribosomal RNA
Source: RNAcentral
AGGACGAACGCUGGCGGCGUGCUUCACACAUGCAAGUCGAACGGGGCUCAUUCGGUGGUAACACCGGAGAAGGCCUAGUGGCGAACGGGUGCGUAACACGUGAAGAACCUGCCCCGAAGACUGGGAUAACAGCGGGAAACCGCUGCUAAUACCGGAUGACCCCACCAGGCCGCAUGGCCAGGUGAGGAAAUGGGCCUACCGCUUCGGGAGGGCUUCGCGGCCUAUCAGCUUGUUGGUGGGGUAACGGCCUACCAAGGCUACGACGGGUAGCUGGUCUGAGAGGACGACCAGCCACACUGGGACUGAGACACGGCCCAGACUCCUACGGGAGGCAGCAGUGGGGAAUCUUGCGCAAUGGGCGAAAGCCUGACGCAGCAACGCCGCGUGAGGGAUGAAGGUCUUCGGGUUGUAAACCUCUUUCGAGCAGGGACGAUUGUGACGGUACCUGCAGAAGAAGCUCCGGCAACUACGUGCCAGCAGCCGCGGU